Hipposideros armiger (great roundleaf bat) is the source of this 2071-nucleotide RNA transcript. It is a transcript of the gene named ribose-phosphate pyrophosphokinase 1 pseudogene, with no coding region annotated. NCBI's taxonomy places the organism in Eukaryota, Metazoa, Chordata, Mammalia, Chiroptera, Hipposideridae. The transcript has a single exon. The record is from RefSeq and is a predicted model, not a curated record.
CGCGCUCCGCGCUGGAAUGUAAGAUGGCAGAGUAGCAACGCGAAGCGGUUAACGCUGAGUCUCUGGGUAGACCUCGGUUCGGGUCUCGGCGGACCUCGGUUUGGGUCUCGGCGGCGGCGGCAGUGAUUGUGAUCGCUGAGCAAAGAGUGCCUACGGUAGUUGGCCAAGAUGCCGAAUAUCAAAAUCUUCAGCGGCAGCUCCCAUCAGGACUUGUCCCAGAAAAUCGCUGACCACCUGGGCCUGGAGCUAGGCAAGGUGGUGGCUAAGAAAUUCAGCAACCAGGAGACCUGCGUGGAAAUUGGCGAAAGUGUACGUGGAGAGGAUGUCUACAUCGUUCAGAGUGGCUGUGGCAAAAUUAACGACAGUCUAAUGGAGCUUCUGAUCAUGAUCAAUGCCUGCAAGAUCGCUUCAGCCAGCCAGGUUACUGCCGUCAUCCCAUGCUUCCCUUAUUCCCGGCAGGAUAAGAAGGAUAAGAGCCGUGCUCCCAUCUCAGCCAAGCUUGUUGCAAAUAUGCUGUCUGUAGCAGGCGCGGAUCAUAUCAUCACCAUGGACCUGCAUGCUUCUCAAAUUCAGGGCUUUUUUGAUAUCCCUGUGGACAAUUUGUACGCAGAGCCAGCUGUCCUGAAGUGGAUAAAGGAGAACAUUUCUGAGUGGAAAAACUGCACUAUUGUCUCUCCCGAUGCUGGGGGAGCUAAGAGAGUGACCUCCAUUGCAGACCGGUUGAAUGUGGACUUUGCCUUGAUUCACAAAGAACGGAAGAAGGCCAAUGAGGUGGACCGCAUGGUGCUGGUGGGAGACGUGAAGGAUCGGGUGGCCAUCCUGGUGGAUGACAUGGCUGACACUUGUGGCACAAUCUGCCAUGCAGCUGGCAAACUUCUCUCAGCUGGAGCCACCAGAGUUUAUGCCAUCUUGACUCACGGAAUCUUUUCUGGCCCAGCCAUUUCUCGCAUCGACAAUGCAUGCUUUGAAGCAGUAGUAGUCACCAACACCAUACCUCAGGAGGAUAACAUGAAGCUUUGCUCCAAAAUACAGGUGAUCGACAUCUCCAUGAUCCUUGCAGAAGCCAUCAGGAGAACGCACUAUGGGGAAUCUGUUUCCUAUCUCUUCAGCCAUGUGCCUUUAUAAAAGAAUAACUUCUGAGGAAAAAUAAACUGAACCCAGCGCCUUGUUUCCCUUGGUAUUUGAUGAAAAAUACAGCAGAAGACCCAGCUUGCUCCAGUAGCUUUCUACAUCCCAUGUCAGGUAUAUUAGCAUUUCUCCAAAAUUAAGAAACUGCCUGCAUUGCCUACCUGCAUUUUCUCAUUCUAGUUUCUUUGGUUUUGUGAACCUUGCAGCUUUAACUAUAGCUCUGAUGCUGCAAGGUUUCAUACUUUGAAGUGUGUUGUGUGGUGGGGGUGUUUGAAUGUGAUUGGGGAAACCCAAGCUACUUUGUAUGUGAAUGCUUCAGGGUUUCCUUGGUUCAGGACUAUUGGCACCAAAGCUAACUCAAUUCCCGUGUGUCCCGCCCCCACCCCCAAAUAACAUGUGACAAGUUCUCUAAGGUCUGUGCUAAAUUAGAAGAGCCCUGGGGAAGCCCAGAACCCAGCUCUGGUUGUUGAGUUCCCGUGAGGCGGGAAGCUCUCAGUGUAACAGUGAAAUGCUGGCUCAGUGCUCUGCUCUCCCUCCCGCGCUUCCCCCUACCCUUUCUGACUCAAGCUAAAUGGCUCCUGCUAUAGAAUUCUGCUUGAGGCUUGAAUAUUUUUCAAAACAGCCGCUUGUCAAAGUCUCUUGAAGAAGUGGGGAAAUAUGUACAAAACUGACUGUUUAUCAAAGAUUUACAGAAACCUCAAGAUGGACUCAUAAGCUGGGAGUCAACGAACCAACCCAGAACAAAGAAAUUUGGAGAUGUCACAUUGUUCCUUGGAUCCCUGUCUGCGCCUGACGGUCUAGAGUUCUCACCCACCUUUUGUCCUGCCCCUCCUCCCUUUCCUUGACAAAAAGAUGAUUGAACUAUUGAUAGAUGCAUUUUUAAAAUGGAUUUGCUGAUGUGUUAAAGCCCCCCAACUUCUCAGCUGGCACCUUCUUGAUCAAU